Long non-coding RNA from Syngnathoides biaculeatus (alligator pipefish), 709 nucleotides. RefSeq lists it as uncharacterized. NCBI's taxonomy places the organism in Eukaryota, Metazoa, Chordata, Actinopteri, Syngnathiformes, Syngnathidae. The transcript is spliced from 2 exons. The record is from RefSeq and is a predicted model, not a curated record.
CGGGCUUAGCGUGUUUGCUCAGACACGUCAAAAAUUAGAGGAAACGUUGGCUCUGGACAAAGACAAUCGCUGGUAGGAGGCUGAACUUCUGACGAGAGGGCAAAAUGAGCGGGCCAUGACAUUGCAUCGAGCUGAGGGUUCCUAUUCUCAUUAGGUUAAACCAUAAAAGGGACCAUCGGUACCUUUAGAACACAAUUUAGGCAGGCUGGUCGAUUUCCUGAAUGUUUGGGGGAAACAGGUGUCUUUGGCGGAAGAAGAGGGAGGAAGGAAAAAACAAGAACAAAGAGUUCUGAGGCAGGGGAGCCGAAACCCGGGUGUCCCUGAUCGCAAGCCGCGAACCGGACGCUCCCUUGUGGAUCCUCCAACGCCGCCCCAACCUUUCUCUGCCGUCGAGCAUCCGCACGCUCAGCAUUUCCGGGUCAGCGUGCUCUUAAUUAGCAAGCAAGUUGCAACACAACACGCUGCAACGGCCGCAACAACAUGCCAGCUGAGAUCGCCUCCUGCUUCCUCCACAACCAACGCCUUCCAGAAGAAAAUGGAUUUACGUCUAUUGUCAUUUCCGCCUACAAGCAAACAGCAUUAUGUCAUUGUUUCAGAGAUGACAAAAGUAUAUUGCUCGGAGAGCAUAUGAUUUAUUAUUGCUUUGAUAAGAUGUCGUAAAUCUACUGAGUUCAUACAGACCUGUGGAAAAGCCGCCAGCAACCGCUAG